This 497-nucleotide ribosomal RNA is filed under the name uncultured bacterium. RNAcentral describes it as "partial 16S ribosomal RNA". It matches the Rfam family "Bacterial small subunit ribosomal RNA", at positions 28 to 507 of the family's 1533-position model. The record is from RNAcentral.
GAUGAACGCUGGCGGCGUGCCUAAUACAUGCAAGUCGAGCGAACAGACGAGGAGCUUGCUCCUCUGACGUUAGCGGCGGACGGGUGAGUAACACGUGGAUAACCUACCUAUAAGACUGGGAUAACUUCGGGAAACCGGAGCUAAUACCGGAUAAUAUAUUGAACCGCAUGGUUCAAUAGUGAAAGACGGUUUUGCUGUCACUUAUAGAUGGAUCCGCGCCGCAUUAGCUAGUUGGUAAGGUAACGGCUUACCAAGGCAACGAUGCGUAGCCGACCUGAGAGGGUGAUCGGCCACACUGGAACUGAGACACGGUCCAGACUCCUACGGGAGGCAGCAGUAGGGAAUCUUCCGCAAUGGGCGAAAGCCUGACGGAGCAACACCGCGUGAGUGAUGAAGGUCUUCGGAUCGUAAAACUCUGUUAUUAGGGAAGAACAAAUGUGUAAGUAACUAUGCACGUCUUGACGGUACCUGAUCAGAAAGCCACGGCUAACUACGUG